This 468-nucleotide ribosomal RNA is filed under the name uncultured bacterium. RNAcentral describes it as "partial 16S ribosomal RNA". It matches the Rfam family "Bacterial small subunit ribosomal RNA", at positions 28 to 507 of the family's 1533-position model. The record is from RNAcentral.
GACGAACGCUGGCGGCGUGCUUAACACAUGCAAGUCGAACGGAAAGGCCCUGCUUUUGUGGGGUGCUCGAGUGGCGAACGGGUGAGUAACACGUGAGUAACCUGCCCUUGACUUUGGGAUAACUUCAGGAAACUGGGGCUAAUACCGGAUAGGAGCUCCUGCUGCAUUGUGGGGGUUGUAAAGUUUCGGCGGUUGGGGAUGGACUCGCGGCUUAUCAGCUUGUUGGUGGGGUAGUGGCUUACCAAGGCUUUGACGGGUAGCCGGCCUGAGAGGGUGACCGGCCACAUUGGGACUGAGAUACGGCCCAGCCUCCUACGGGAGGCAGAAGUGGGGAAUAUUGCACAAUGGGCGGAAGCCUGAUGCAGCAACGCCGCGUGCGGGAUGACGGCCUUCGGGUUGUAAACCGCUUUCGCCUGUGACGAAGCGUGAGUGACGGUAAUGGGUAAAGAAGCACCGGCUAACUACGUG